GAGGAUUACACUGUCUCCCCCCCCAAAUCAAUGAAACUGAUCCCUCCGUGAAGAAGCGGGGAUAAAUAUAUAAGACGAGAAGACCCUAUGGAGCUUUAAACUAAACACCACUUACCUUUAAUCACUCCCUUACAAACAGGUAAAGAUCGUGUGUGUUUUCAGUUGGGGUGACUGCGGAGCAAAAUAAAACCUCCACGAUGAAACAAUCCUCUAAUCUAAGAACAACAUUUCAAAGAAUCAACAAAUUGACAUAAAUUGACCCAAAUAUUAAUUUGAUCAACGAACCAAGUUACCCUAGGGGUAACAGCGCAAUCCAUUUCAAGAGCUCAUAUCGACAAAUG
Molecule: ribosomal RNA, 341 nt
Filed under: Chiasmocleis lacrimae
Lineage: Eukaryota; Metazoa; Chordata; Amphibia; Anura; Microhylidae
Description: partial 16S ribosomal RNA
Rfam family: Bacterial large subunit ribosomal RNA
Source: RNAcentral